UACGUAGGGGGCUAGCGUUGUCCGGAAUCAUUGGGCGUAAAGAGCGUGUAGGCGGCUCGAUAAGUCCGCUGUGAAAGUCCAGGGCUCAACCCUGGGAUGCCGGUGGAUACUGUCGGGCUCGAGUCCGGAAGAGGCGAGUGGAAUUCCUGGUGUAGCGGUGAAAUGCGCAGAUAUCAGGAAGAACACCUAUGGCGAAGGCAGCACUCUGGGACGGUACUGACGCUGAGACGCGAAAGCGUGGGGAGCGAACAGG
RNAcentral lists this ribosomal RNA (253 nucleotides) under uncultured bacterium. RNAcentral's name for it is "partial 16S ribosomal RNA". It matches the Rfam family "Bacterial small subunit ribosomal RNA", at positions 524 to 776 of the family's 1533-position model. The record is from RNAcentral.